RNAcentral lists this unclassified non-coding RNA (1051 nucleotides) under Brettanomyces bruxellensis. Lineage: Eukaryota; Fungi; Ascomycota; Pichiomycetes; Pichiales; Pichiaceae. The record is from RNAcentral.
UGUUUUAGAAUUAAUGUAUUUGUUCGUUAAGGUAUGCUUUUCUGCUAUAUCCAUAUUGGGAGGUUUCGUCUGUGGAGGUAACAUAAAAGCAUAUGAUGAUCACAACGCAAAUAAUAUUCAAACUAGAGUAUAUGACCCAUUUAUUGGGUGUGAUCUUAAAAUGUCAACUGAUAGGCUUUUUACCAAACAGAUGUUGCAUGUUGAGGUUCAUUCACUUUAUACAGGGUUACUAACAUCCCAUUCAGCAUAAUUUUCAUUUAAAAUGAAAAAAGUGGUAGUUGGUUCGUGUCUUAUGAACUAAUUUCGAGCAUAUUCAUAUUCAUCUUGAUGAAGCUAUAAAGGAUUAUAAGCUCGUCAAAGGAAUGGAUGUAAGACUAUUGCUAGUGCGUAACUAUAGAGUUGACAUAUACCGCUCCUUUGCAUGACGAUUUAUAGCACUGGGCACUGAUAUAUAUGAGUGACACUGCUUAUUAAGUGAGCCUCAGAAACUCACUGUUACUGAUUUCGGGGUGCUUGUCAACGAUAGUUUGUCUCUGCUCUACUCUUCACAUUAUGCGGUUUUUAGGCAUAUAUCUAUUUCUUUGAUGGCUUAAAAUUUGUUCUUCCUUUCUUUUUCCAAAAUAUGUUUUUACCUUUGUGAUCAUUAAAGGAUUAAUGAUCAAAGCUAUAAAUGUAAAAGGAAGUGAUUUGCUACCCCAAGUAAGAGAAAGCGAGGAAAGGAACCGAUUAAUUGAGAUGAAUUUAUCGCAGUCAUAGGAUGAAAUUAUCUUAUAUUAAUGACAAGCAUAUGUCUGAUACAAUUUGAAGACAGGUAUAAUUCUGAUGACACUUAUUAAGUGAUAUGCUCUUUUUGCUGUUCACUAUGCUUGCUUUCUCGGAUAUCUUUAUUUUUUCUGCAACAUGGAUGUUGCUGUUAGGAUAUAAGUCAUGCUCAAGUGUAGAUGGAGUAUGCCAAAAAAGCGGUGUCAUGUAUAUGAUGAUUUGCACAUUCUCACGACGGUCAACUGUAAUUCUUGCAAUGCAAGGAUGUUUGAUGAUAUUUCAGCUUUGA